This 1649-nucleotide long non-coding RNA is filed under the name Macaca fascicularis (crab-eating macaque). RNAcentral describes it as "lncRNA (ENSMFAG00000060785.1)". The record is from RNAcentral. Lineage: Eukaryota; Metazoa; Chordata; Mammalia; Primates; Cercopithecidae.
UAGUCUCUGACACUCAGCUACUUGUAUCCCCAAAGUUCAGCAACUUGUAUCCCCAAGGCUCAGCAGCUUGCAUCCCCAGCCACUUGCACCAGCUGCUUGUGUUGCUCUGCCAGAUGAAGUCUUUUUAUGGGCACCGGAUGGGGGUGGGGAGGGCCAAAAAGGCAAUUAUUUGAGCAGAAAAAUGAGGUCAGCUGCUUUCACUUAGGGCCCAGGUUCCAGGCUUGAGGGUGGAGUUUAGCCAGAAGCCCAGCCAUUCUGUGUCAGGAACAUUCAAUGCUCUCUUUCUAGCUAUUUGAAACUGUGUAAAUUAUUGUUAACUAUAGUUAUCCUACAGUGCUGUAGUAAACCAGAACUAUGCCUCCUAUCUAACUGUAAUUUUAUAACCUUAACCAAUCUCUUCCUAUCUAUCCCUCUUUCUCCUUACCCUUCCCACCUUCUAGUCUCCUCUGUUCUAUUUCUUCUAUGAGAUCAACUAUGUUUUAGCUUCCACAUAUGACUGAGAAUAUGCAGUGUUUAACUUUCUGUUCCUGGCUUGUUUGACUUAACAAUAUGUUAUCCUCCAGUUCCAUCCAUGUUGCUGCAAAUGACAGGAUUUCAUUCCUUUUUAUGGCUGAAUAGUAUUCCAUUGUGUACAUAUGCCACAAUUUCUUUAUCCAUUUAUCUGUUGUUGAACACCUAGGUUCAUUACGUAUCUUGGCUAUUGUGAAAAGGGCUGCAAUAAACAUGGGACUGCAGGUGUCUCUUCAAUACACUGCUUUUCUUUCCUUUGGAUAAAUGGGACUGCUGGAUCGUAUGACAGUUUGAUCUGUAGCUUUUUGAGGACCCUCCAUACUGUUCUCGACAGUGGUUGUGCUAGUUUACAUUCCCGCCAAGAGUAUGUAAGAGUUCCCAUUUCUCCACAUCCUUGCCAGAAUGUUUUUUUUAUCUUCUUGAUAAUAACCAUCCUAACUGGGGUGAGAUGGUACCUCACUGUGGUUUUGAUAUGCAGUUCUCUGAUUAUAUGGUUUGGCUGUGUCCCCACCCAAACCUCAUCUUGAAUUGUAGCUCCCAUAAUUCCUAUGUGUCAUGGGAGGGACCCAGUCGGAGGUAAUUGAAUCACGGGGGUGGAUCUUUCCCAUGCUGUUCUUGUGAUAGUGGAUAACUCUCACGAGAUCUGAUGGUUUUAUAAAUGGGAGUCUCCCUGCACAAAUUCUCUCUUUCCUGCUGCUAUGUAAGAUGUGACCUUGCUCUUCCUUUGCCUUCUGCCAUGAUUGUGAGACCUCCCCAGCCAUAUGGAACUGUGAGUCCAUUAAACCUCUUUUUAUGUGUAAAUUACCCAGUCUCAGCUGGGCGUGGUGGCUCAUGCCUGUAAUCCCAGCACUUUGGGAGGCCGAGGUGGGCAGAUCACCUGAGGUCGGGAGUUCGAGACUAGCCUGACCAACAUGGAGAAACCCCAUCUCUACUAAAAAUACAAAGUUACUCAAGCAUGGUGGGGCAUGCCUGUAAUCCCAGCUACUCAGGAGGCUGAGGCAGGAGAGUCGCUUGAACCCGGGUGGCAGAGGUUGCAGUGAGCUGAGAUCAUGCCACAAUCACCUGAGGUCAGGAGAUUAAGACCAUCCUGGCCAACAUGGCGAAACCCCAUCUCUACUAAAAUUUAAAAAAAAAAAAAA